GUCUGUUUUAGUUUGAGCCAAAGCCACAGGAGGCCAAGCACAACGAUUUUAGCAAGUGUGAGCAAGCUCACUUCAAAGCCACGUGUCACACUGUACUUAAAGGAACAGAAAGUGAACGAGCUUAGAAAGUGAAGAAGUACCCACUUUUUGUGAUAACAUAUAUAUCUGGAAAAGAACGGAGUUUGGACAAGGUAGAAGCCGUAGGUGUGCUGUUUCUGGUGAAAUGGAGACUAGUAUUACUGAAAGAAAUUGAGAGCAGUGUGUCAAAGCACAUGAUCAAAGACCAUAGAGGAGCCUGUGGGAGAGUCCUGCCAAUCUAAAUAGUCCGGAGCAGGACUGCAUUGGUGGAACUGUUCUGAAUAAUUCAGUGGUCAACAUAAAUGCAGAAUCUGACGAGAAAAUGUUCGAUGCUAAAAUGGACAUUGUACUUUAAAUAGUAUAUGACUCUUACAAAAAGCCUGUGUUUAGAAAAGUAAUACAGGCAAUAAGGAGUCUUUCUUUACUCAUUGAAAUGACACUUGAGAAAACAACUAUUUUUGUUGAAUAUUUUCUUUUGAAACCACAGGUUUCCAUAGAAAGGGCC
RNAcentral lists this long non-coding RNA (583 nucleotides) under Fukomys damarensis (Damara mole-rat). RNAcentral's name for it is "lncRNA (ENSFDAG00000030075.1)". The record is from RNAcentral. Lineage: Eukaryota; Metazoa; Chordata; Mammalia; Rodentia; Bathyergidae.